This 429-nucleotide ribosomal RNA is filed under the name Bacteroidota bacterium. RNAcentral describes it as "Bacteroidetes bacterium partial 16S ribosomal RNA". It matches the Rfam family "Bacterial small subunit ribosomal RNA", at positions 355 to 776 of the family's 1533-position model. Lineage: Bacteria; Pseudomonadati; Bacteroidota. The record is from RNAcentral.
UAGGGAAUCUUCGGCAAUGGGGGGAACCCUGACCGAGCAACGCCGCGUGAGUGAAGAAGGUUUUCGGAUCGUAAAACUCUGUUGUUAGAGAAGAACAGCGCAUAGAGUAACUGUUAUGCGUGUGACGGUAUCUAACCAGAAAGCCACGGCUAACUACGUGCCAGCAGCCGCGGUAAUACGUAGGUGGCAAGCGUUGUCCGGAUUUAUUGGGCGUAAAGCGAGCGCAGGCGGUCAAUUAAGUCUGAUGUGAAAGCCCCCGGCUCAACCGGGGAGGGUCAUUGGAAACUGGUUGACUUGAGUGCAGAAGAGGAGAGUGGAAUUCCAUGUGUAGCGGUGAAAUGCGUAGAUAUAUGGAGGAACACCAGUGGCGAAGGCGACUCUCUGGUCUGUAACUGACGCUGAUGUGCGAAAGCGUGGGGAUCAAACAGG